UACGUAGGGUGCGAGCGUUGCCCGGAUUUAUUGGGCGUAAAGGGCGCGUAGGCGGCCACGCACGUCCGUUGUGAAAUCGCCCGGCUCAACUGGGCGGGGUCAGCGGAUACGGUGUGGCUCGAGCAAGCUAGGGGGCAAUGGAAUUCCCGGUGUAGUGGUGGAAUGCGUAGAUAUCGGGAGGAACACCAGUGGCGAAGGCGGUUGCCUGGAGCUUUGCUGACGCUGAUGCGCGAAAGCGUGGGGAGCGAGUCCGG
Molecule: ribosomal RNA, 254 nt
Filed under: uncultured bacterium
Lineage: Bacteria
Description: partial 16S ribosomal RNA
Rfam family: Bacterial small subunit ribosomal RNA
Source: RNAcentral